RNAcentral lists this ribosomal RNA (876 nucleotides) under Triticum aestivum (bread wheat). Its description in RNAcentral is "partial small subunit ribosomal RNA". Lineage: Eukaryota; Viridiplantae; Streptophyta; Magnoliopsida; Poales; Poaceae. The record is from RNAcentral.
AUGACAAUUUUUGACGAUGAUGAUGAUGCGGAGCCACAACUGAAGGUCGUUGACAACUACUAUUUUGAGAAAGCCAAGGACGAGUUUGUUUGUUUCAGCACCUUGCCCCUUAAGUUUGAUGAGAAUGAUAAAGUCUCCGGGAAGGGUAUCUACUUGCGUCGAUAUUCCGCAGAUGGCGCCCCUGCAGUAUACAAGCAGGUUGUAGCUUGGACAGUAGCACUUAACCGUGAGCAGCCAAAGAUCUCAGUGCUUUCAAGUGAGGGCUAUUGGAUAGAAUUGGAUCUAUUGAAACCACGGAAAAUCUAUUGGAAGUUUGCUCGAUCAGCAUUAACGACAGUUCAAAUGCUCCACUUUGUCAAAAGGCAACCCAGAAAACCGAUGAUAAGUCUUUCUGUUCACCUUCGUGAAAUAUUCAGUAAAUUUGAAACGGAAGAGAUGGAGGAUGCUUUAGGGAAACACCAUCACAUAAUCAAGCGAUGUGCAGAGAGGGAUCCUGCUUUAAUGAGGUCAAAGAUUCUGCAAAGCUUUAUCAAGGACACUUCUGGGAAAUACUUUGAGUGCAUAUUAAGGAGUCUGAGCACCAAGGAGUCAUUCAUUGUUGUUGCUGAGCCUCUUGCAAGUGGGGGUAAAGGCAAUUGCGAUACAGUUAGUGAUGGUAACAUAAUCGGCGAUGAUGGUGAUGGCACUGAGCCAAUAUGUGCAAUAUGUGAUGAAGGAGGAGAAUUACUUAGCUGUAAAGGUCGAUGCAAGAGAGCCUUCCAUCCUACAAUAGAAGCUGGCAGAAAGUCUAAAUGUGUAACACUUGGUUACACUGCUGUACAAGUAAAGGAAAUGAAUAAGUUCAUAUGCGAAAACUGUAGAUAUGAACAACACUAA